RNAcentral lists this ribosomal RNA (433 nucleotides) under uncultured bacterium. Its description in RNAcentral is "partial 16S ribosomal RNA". It matches the Rfam family "Bacterial small subunit ribosomal RNA", at positions 29 to 507 of the family's 1533-position model. The record is from RNAcentral.
AACGAACGCUGGCGGCAUGCCUAACACAUGCAAGUCGAACGAGACCUUCGGGUCUAGUUGCGCACGGGUGCGUAACGCGUGGGAACCUGCCCUUAGGUUCGGAAUAACUCCCCGAAAGGGGUGCUAAUACCGGAUAAUUUCUUCUGACCAAAGAUUUAUCGCCUUUGGAUGGGCCCGCGUUGGAUUAGCUAGUUGGUAGGGUAAAAGCCUACCAAGGCGACGAUCCAUAGCUGGUCUGAGAGGAUGAUCAGCCACACUGGGACUGAGACACGGCCCAGACUCCUACGGGAGGCAGCAGUGGGGAAUAUUGGACAAUGGGCGAAAGCCUGAUCCAGCAAUGCCGCGUGAGUGAUGAAGGCCUUAGGGUUGUAAAGCUCUUUUACCCGGGAUGAUAAUGACAGUACCGGGAGAAUAAGCGCCGGCUAACUCCGUG